GGUGGCUUAGUGCUAGAGCACUUGCCUUGCAUGCAUGAGGCCUGGGUUCGAUUCCUCAGCACCA
Molecule: transfer RNA, 64 nt
Filed under: Dipodomys ordii (Ord's kangaroo rat)
Lineage: Eukaryota; Metazoa; Chordata; Mammalia; Rodentia; Heteromyidae
Rfam family: tRNA
About the family: Transfer RNA (tRNA) molecules are approximately 80 nucleotides in length. Their secondary structure includes four short double-helical elements and three loops (D, anti-codon, and T loops).
Source: Rfam by way of RNAcentral